Long non-coding RNA from Mauremys reevesii (Reeves's turtle), 304 nucleotides. RefSeq lists it as uncharacterized. The record is from RefSeq and is a predicted model, not a curated record. The transcript has 3 exons. Lineage: Eukaryota; Metazoa; Chordata; Testudines; Geoemydidae.
GGGGGCGGGGGUUUUGCACCCGCUCCCUCUCCAGGGCCUGGAUAAAUACGGAGCCGUGGCGGCCGCCCCGACACCUUCUCCUCUGGGCCCCCAGCGUCCCUGCAAAGCCGGCGGCUGAAGCCACGCGAGCAAUGGACCCCCAGGACUGUCCCUGUGCGAUCGGUGGCACCUGCACCUGUGGUAACAACUGCAAAUGCACAAACUGUAAAUGCACAUCGUGCAGGAAAAGCUGUUGUUCCUGUUGCCCACCUGGAUGCGCCAAGUGUGCCCAAGGCUGUAUCUGCAAAGGACAACCUUCCACCAA